Molecule: long non-coding RNA, 253 nt
Filed under: Brassica napus (rape)
Lineage: Eukaryota; Viridiplantae; Streptophyta; Magnoliopsida; Brassicales; Brassicaceae
Description: long non-coding RNA (BNAP_LNC005986)
Source: RNAcentral
UGCUAAAAUGUUAAUCUAAUAUUUUUUGGGUCAAAUGUUAAUCUAAUUUAAAAAAUGGUUUAGACUCUUAAGAGGGUAUGUUAUGACUUAUGAUCCACCGUGUCUAAGCUGUAUGCGUUGAGGGAGUAAUGGUUAGCACGUAGGCAUAAGCAAUAUAAACUUUAACACGUACGUAUCGUAAAGAGAGAAGCCACUUAAUAUCAAUAUUAAUAAAUUGUUUAAAAGCCUUUUCCGAAGCAAAAUAGUGAUUAUU